GAUGAACGCUGGCGGCGUGCCUAAUACAUGCAAGUCGAGCGAACAGAUGAGGAGCUUGCUCCUCUGACGUUAGCGGCGGACGGGUGAGUAACACGUGGAUAACCUACCUAUAAGACUGGGAUAACUUCGGGAAACCGGAGCUAAUACCGGAUAAUAUAUUGAACCGCAUGGUUCAAUAGUGAAAGACGGUUUUGCUGUCACUUAUAGAUGGAUCCGCGCCGCAUUAGCUAGUUGGUAAGGUAACGGCUUACCAAGGCAACGAUGCGUAGCCGACCUGAGAGGGUGAUCGGCCACCCUGGAACUGAGACACGGUCCAGACUCCUACGGGAGGCAGCAGUAGGGAAUCUUCCGCAAUGGGCGAAAGCUUGACGGAGCAGCGCCGCGUGAGUGAUGAAGGUCUUCGGAUCGUAAAACUCUGUUAUUAGGGAAGAACAAAUGUGUAAGUAACUAUGCACGUCUUGACGGUACCUAAUCAGAAAGCCACGGCUAACUACGUG
Molecule: ribosomal RNA, 497 nt
Filed under: uncultured bacterium
Lineage: Bacteria
Description: partial 16S ribosomal RNA
Rfam family: Bacterial small subunit ribosomal RNA
Source: RNAcentral